UCGUUGUUCCUUUGUUUUCUCCCCAUUUCAAAACCACCGCCGCCGCCACCACAGAUGAUGGAGUCAGAUGUCCAUGAUCUUCAUCAACAACAAGAUAUUAGUGUGAUGGUAUCUCCUCCCAGGCAUGAGUGGUUUGAAUAUUGCUCUCUGCAUUCAAUUUUUCUUGAUCUCUUCUUCUUGUACCCUCGAUUUCCGACUCUCCUUUUUUGUAUCCUCUUUAAUGUCACGUUUCUCUCUAUCGUCGUUCUGUGGUAACUUCCGCUCUUUCGAAGUGACGCUGAUACAGAUGUUAAAAUCAGUGAUUUAUUGACUCGUUUAUCCCGAUUCAAUUGAUUUAUUGACUCGUUUUAGUGGUUCAGCUAUAACUUUACCCUCAGUUCUCUGUUGAUGGAUUCUGUUUAGCGGCACCAGUUGCAGGGUGGGUGUUUGAUAUCCAAUGCAUCAUUGUGACUUCAUCUCAAAAACAAAGGAAGGAUCAUAGUGGAGCUGAUAAAAAGCAGCCAAGUAGAGAGAAGGGCACAGGUGAAAGACCCAAUGCAAUUUGUGAAGGACCUCUAUGAGUUCUCCAUUUGACAGAGAGAGCACAGCCAAUCUAAUUUAUCAUAUUGGCCAUCUAGCCACUCCUCCAGCUGAGAAUGCACAUCCCCAUAUAGAGCGGUGAAUUAGUCUUUCACGAGAUGCUUCUGACUUUCCCGUUAAGUUCAAUUCUAGUACUUCAAGGCUUUACGGUAAGAAUAUCGAACUUUUAUUUCAUCCAUAAUGUACAAGUUCAUAUGCAUUUAAUGAUGAUGCUAUGUUGUUGUUAAGCAAUAAUGAUACUUUUGUUGGAUUCCCAUAGCCUGUUAAGCUGGAUUGGUAAUAAUCCUUAUUGAGUUCUGGUUUAAGGUCUAGUUGUUUGCUUAACAUUAAGAUUACUGGUAUUAACUUCUUGUCA
Molecule: long non-coding RNA, 934 nt
Organism: Papaver somniferum (opium poppy)
Lineage: Eukaryota; Viridiplantae; Streptophyta; Magnoliopsida; Ranunculales; Papaveraceae
Exons: 3
Source: RefSeq, a predicted model, not a curated record